CCUACGGGCGGCAGCAGUGAGGAAUAUUGGUCAAUGGACGCAAGUCUGAACCAGCCAUGCCGCGUGCAGGAAGACGGCUCUAUGAGUUGUAAACUGCUUUUGUACGAGGGUAAACGCAGAUACGCGUAUCUGUCUGAAAGUAUCGUACGAAUGAGGAUCGGCUAACUACGUGCCCGCAGCCGCGGUAAUACGGAGGAUUCAAGCGUUAUCCGGAUUUAUUGGGUUUAAAGGGUGCGUAGGCGGGCGGGUAAGUUAGAGGUGAAAUCCCGAGGCUCAACUUCGGAAUUGCCUCUGAAACUGUUCGGCUAGAGAGUAGUUGCGGUAGGCGGAAUGUAUGGUGUAGCGGUGAAAUGCGUAGAGAUC
RNAcentral lists this ribosomal RNA (363 nucleotides) under uncultured bacterium. Its description in RNAcentral is "partial 16S ribosomal RNA". It matches the Rfam family "Bacterial small subunit ribosomal RNA", at positions 338 to 698 of the family's 1533-position model. The record is from RNAcentral.